CAAACAUGAAGGUGGAACAGGUAUCCACCACCUAGUGAAAACUAUAGGAGAUGCAGAUUACCACCUGCCAUGUUUA
This 76-nucleotide non-coding RNA is filed under the name unclassified sequences. Its description in RNAcentral is "skipping-rope RNA". It matches the Rfam family "skipping-rope RNA". From Rfam's summary of the family: Firmicutes, Fusobacteria, AlphaProteobacteria, Spirochaetes. Downstream gene The record is from Rfam by way of RNAcentral.